Anolis sagrei ordinatus is the source of this 158-nucleotide non-coding RNA. The record is from RefSeq and is a predicted model, not a curated record. Lineage: Eukaryota; Metazoa; Chordata; Lepidosauria; Squamata; Anolidae.
AGUACAUUGACAACAUGGUGAACUGCAACAUCCUUUCGACCGUGAAGAUGACAGAAGCCAUCCUUCCUCAAAUGGUUGCCAGGAAGAAGGGGAUCAUAAUAAACAUCUCCUCUGGAAACGCCUGGAGACCCGUGCCCUGGACCGCGAUGUACUGCGCC